This 397-nucleotide RNase P RNA is filed under the name Streptomyces noursei. RNAcentral describes it as "RNase P RNA component class A". It matches the Rfam family "Bacterial RNase P class A". Rfam says of the family: Ribonuclease P (RNase P) is a ubiquitous endoribonuclease, found in archaea, bacteria and eukarya as well as chloroplasts and mitochondria. Its best characterised activity is the generation of mature 5'-ends of tRNAs by cleaving the 5'-leader elements of precursor-tRNAs. The record is from RNAcentral. Lineage: Bacteria; Bacillati; Actinomycetota; Actinomycetes; Kitasatosporales; Streptomycetaceae.
CGAGCCGGCCGGGCGGUCGCGUGGGGAUCGCAAGAUCCUCCCGAGGAACGUCCGGGCUCCACAGGGCAGGGUGGUGGGUAACGCCCACCCGGGGUGACCCGCGGGACAGUGCCACAGAAAGCAAACCGCCCGGGCCGCACGGCCCGGUAAGGUGAACGGUGGUGUAAGAGACCACCGGUGCCCAGGGUGACCUGGGCAGCUAGGUAAACCCCACCCGGAGCAAGGUCAAGAGGGCCAUCGGCUGAUGGCCCUGCGCGGACGAUCGAGGGCUGCCCGCCCGAGUCCGCGGGUAGACCGCACGAGGCUGCCGGCAGCGGCAGCCCUAGAUGGAUGGCCGCCUCCGGCCGACCGCAAGGUCGCCCGAGACAGAACCCGGCGUACAGGCUGGACUCGUCCG